GAUGAACGCUGGCGGCGUGCCUAAUACAUGCAAGUCGAGCGAACAGACGAGAAGCUUGCUCCUCUGACGUUAGCGGCGGACGGGUGAGUAACACGUGGAUAACCUACCUAUAAGACUGGGAUAACUUCGGGAAACCGGAGCUAAUACCGGAUAAUAUAUUGAACCGCAUGGUUCAAUAGUGAAAGACGGUUUUGCUGUCACUUAUAGAUGGAUCCGCGCUGCAUUAGCUAGUUGGUAAGGUAACGGCUUACCAAGGCAACGAUGCGUAGCCGACCUGAGAGGGUGAUCGGCCACACUGGAACUGAGACACGGUCCAGACUCCUACGGGAGGCAGCAGUAGGGAAUCUUCCGCAAUGGGCGAAAGCCUGACGGAGCAACGCCGCGUGAGUGAUGAAGGUCUUCGGAUCGUAAAACUCUGUUAUUAGGGAAGAACAAAUGUGUAAGUAACUAUGCACGUCUUGACGGUACCUAAUCAGAAAGCCACGGCUAACUACGUG
Molecule: ribosomal RNA, 497 nt
Filed under: uncultured bacterium
Lineage: Bacteria
Description: partial 16S ribosomal RNA
Rfam family: Bacterial small subunit ribosomal RNA
Source: RNAcentral